CACACAUGCAGUGAGGGAGCAACAGCAGAAGAGUAAUUUAAUUCAAGCCAAACUAUUUCUUUUCGUUUUGUAUUUUAAAAAGUCCUGAAUUUUAAUGUGUGGUCUUUAAAAUAUUUUUCUGCUGGAAUGGAACUUCUCUCUGUAAAAGUGAAAAAAGGAAGGCUGGAUAAAACAACUGACACAUCGAAAACUUACGUUGUUUUAAAAGUCC
This is a non-coding RNA of Lonchura striata (white-rumped munia), 211 nucleotides long. NCBI's taxonomy places the organism in Eukaryota, Metazoa, Chordata, Aves, Passeriformes, Estrildidae. The record is from RefSeq and is a predicted model, not a curated record.